GAGCCGGUAAAACUCGUGCCAGCCACCGCGGUUAUACGAGAGGCUCAAGUUGACAGACAACGGCGUAAAGAGUGGUUAGGGAAACUUUUUAAACUAAAGCCGAACGUCCUCAGAGCUGUUUAACGCUCCCGAGUUAAGAAGGUCUUUAACGAAAGUAGCUUUACCAAACCUGACCCCACGAAAGCUGUGAAACAAACUGGGAUUAGAUACCCCACUAUGCUCAGCCCUAAAAUUCGAUAGGUCACUACGCCCCCUAUCCGCCCGGGUACUACGAGCAUCAGCUUGAAACCCAAAGGACUUGGCGGUGCUUCACAUCCGUCUAGAGGAGCCUGUUCUAUAACCGAUAACCCCCGUUAAACCUCACCCUCCCUUGUUAAUCCCGCCUAUAUACCGCCGUCGUCAGCCUACCCUGUGAAGGACUAGAAGUGAGCAAGAUUGGUAAGACCCAAAACGUCAGGUCGAGGUGUAGUAUAUGAGAGGGGAAGAAAUGGGCUACAUUUCCUAAAUCAGGAAAUACGAACAAUGAACUGAAAUAAGCAUUAGAAGGUGGAUUUAGCAGUAAGCAGAGAAACAGAGUGUUCUGCUGAAGUUAAUGGCAAUAAAGCACGUACACACCGCCCGU
Molecule: ribosomal RNA, 622 nt
Filed under: Pomacentrus callainus
Lineage: Eukaryota; Metazoa; Chordata; Actinopteri; Pomacentridae
Description: partial small subunit ribosomal RNA
Rfam family: Bacterial small subunit ribosomal RNA
Source: RNAcentral